GUUGAACCUGUAAAUGAACUAAAUUAAAUCAAAUUGAUUAAUUUGCUUCAAUUUCGGGUUCAUAAUCGUUUUCGGGCUUUUGGCAAAAUCACGUUAACCAUGGCAGAGUGAUGCCUUUCCCUGUGAUUUAACCCUCAAAAGUUAAAAACUGGUAUUACAACCACACACGCUCACAGGGAAUUUCAGCUUCCUCUUGGACUUUUUCUCUCUCAAAUUUUCUCCCUUGUUCCUUUCUGCCAGAGAUGAGUGAGUGUUUCAGACUCAACUAGGCCUCCUUUGGUUUUUUCUUAAAGCUGGCAUUAUUGCUUUCAACAGGGUGGAAUUUUUUUUUUUUAAUGAAUGUGUCUUAAUGGACUCUAAUGGCUGCUACUCUCUCUAAAUCUCAGUACAUUGGGUUCGUGUAUUUAACUCAAGUAGAUAGGUAGAAAGAUGCUGGAUCAGUUCAAAAAGAUUCAGAAUCUCAAGAGUAAGAUGUUUGUCAAUGUUGUUGAAAUUUCAAAAUUAAUUUUAAAUAGGAUUUGAUCGAGGGAAUUGCUAAUGCCAGGAAAUGGUUUUAUCCCACAAUUAUUAAAGUGGAGUAAUGAUGACAUAGUGAGAAUUUAAUUUUCUCUUUUAGUAACUUUUGGAGAUCAACUUUUAACUUAGUAUAUAUAUUGCUUAUUUGUAAAAUUACCAAGGCGAUUUUGUCUUUCAUCAAUUUUUCAGGGUGACUCAGGGACUGCAAUACUAUGUGCAUGAUUGGUGUAAUUUAAAGCUUAGCAGGUUAGUUUCCCAUAUGUGCCUCACUGAUCAUAUUUAUCCAUGUCAACAGUAUAUUUUUCUUCUUAAAAAUAAUGAGUUGAAAUCCAAAUAUCCUGUGGGAUGGAGGAAAAAUAAUUAUAAUCAAUGGUGUGCUGUUAUCUGCUUCACAACUGAGUGUCCACUUCUCUUUUUAACAUCAAAACAAGACAAAAUAACAUCAAAAGGAUACAAAAGAAUCUACUAAUGAGGGAAAAAUUUUCUGAAUUGGUAUAUGGUGUUCCAUAGUAUAUGUAUAGUGCAAUGAUAGGAUUUGAAUCUAAGAUCCUUUCCUUUCCUGCUGGUAACAUUACUGUUGUGCUGUGACAACAUUCCCAUACUUCACAUGAAUUUAGGUUGAUGUUCACUUGGAAAAUGGAAUUUAUGCAGACAACUCUUGAAGUAGCAGCAUCAUGCCAAGGGGUGGAAACUACUUUGGCACAAUCAUUUGAGGACAAAUUUUUUAGAUUCCUUGCUAGUUGGUAAGAGCAUACACAAAAUCAAAUUAUAUGGGAGUCUCUUAUCUUGAUUGCUUCUCCUGGACAGCAUCCUUUGAGGACUUCACUACAGUCAGACCAUCAUUUGUUCAUUUUCAUUCUUCUCAUUAGAUUAGUGAAAAAUAUCACUUUUUCCAAUUGCAAAAUUCUCCUAGGAAGCUAGUCAUCUUCUUGCUGUAGUUUUGCCUUUGUGUCUGUAGUUCCUCCUCCUUGUCUCAUAUUUUGGUGUGAUCUCCGCUCUGCUUUUCUCUACGUUGUCCAUUCUUCUGACCAUGGUUUUUUCUUUCAAUAAAAAUUUGACAUUUUGAUUCAAACUUCUAUAUCAUAUACAAUUUUUCUUUCAAGAAAAAUUUGCUGUUUAUUCUCCCCAGUUGAAACUCUAAUUUUUGACAUUUUGGAAUCUUGAACUUCCAUUAUCAAGAUUCCAACCAUUUAGCUAUGUUGUGACUUCCUGAAUUUUGUCAUGAAUCAGUCAUUUAUCCAAAGAAAUCUUAUAUGAUAUCAAAAUUUUUCAAAUUCCAUGAUAAUUGUAUUGCAUAUAAUCAAUAACAAUAUGUUUCUAAAGCCUUCUUCUUUCUUUUUAAUCCCAAAUAUUUCAUGCUUUAAUGGGCAAGUUCUUUAUGUUCUACCACAUUUGCAGGUUGGGGAAAGGCUUUAAUUGAAUUCUAACCUUCCCCUUUAGGAAAUAUGAAAUUUGGUUCAAAGAAAGGAUGGAAAUCCAUUGUGCCCCUUCGUUUGAAAGGCAAAUCAGCCACCCGCUUCUGUUUGUUUCCCAAACCACGGUCAACUAGCUACGGUCCAGGAAGUGCGCCAGUUUAUCUCAAUGUGUAUGACUUGACACCCAUGAAUGGCUAUGUCUAUUGGGCAGGCCUUGGUAUCUUUCACUCUGGCGUGGAAGUUCAUGGUGUCGAAUAUGCAUUUGGUGCUCAUGACUACCCAACAAGUGGUGUUUUUGAGGUGGAACCUCAGCAAUGUCCAGGCUUCAAGUUCAGGAAAUCAAUAUUGAUUGGGACCACAUGCUUGGAUCCUGUUCAGGUCAGGGAGUUCAUGGAGCAGCAUGCUGCAAGCUACCAUGGUGAUACAUAUCACUUGAUUGUUAAAAAUUGCAAUCAUUUCUGCAAAGACAUCUGUUACAAGUUAACCGGGAAACCAAUUCCAAAAUGGGUAAAUCGACUAGCAAAAAUAGGUACUUAUCAUGUAACCCAUUAUCCAAGUUCUGACAAUAAUAUUUUUUAAAUAUUGUUUGCACAAUAGUAAGUUUUCUUGCUAUAAAAAUUUGGAUUUAUCUCCUGAUUGCUUCUUUGGAUUUUCAUUAUUACAUGGGACUGCCGCAACAUCCCUAGUUCGCAACUUAUGGACAUUCUCAUUGUAGAGCAUUCCUUUUUGUGGUCUCCAAUGAACUAAAGUAUCCAAAUUUAAUGCAACUUGAAUCUUGUACAAAUUUCAAUUUCAAAGUAUUUUUUUACCCUUUUAAAACAAUUUGUUAUCUUGCUGAUAUAUAAACUAGUUCUACUAGAAGUUGAAAUAGCUCAUAUAUGAAUCCAUGUUUACUUGAUUUCACCUUUUAAAAGUUCAUGAUAUUGUGUUGUUUAUUUUUUUUCCCGAUAUCUUUAAUUGGCUUGUGAUAGGUUCAGUUUGCAACUGUAUACUUCCUGAAUCUCUGAAGAUAUCUGCUGUUCGGCAUGAUCCUGAUGGCCAAUCUUAUGAUAGUGAGAGGAGAAGGUUGAGAAGUGCUUUCAGCUGCCUGUCUUCAAUCUCAAUGCGACAAAAGCAGCUAUCAACUUCUUCAAUGUUUCUACAAUCACCCUUGAAAGGCUGCCUCCCAUGGGAGCUGAAAAGGUCUAUCAAUGGUUCCUUAAAGGAAAGAUGAAAGAAUUCAUGGAGAGUAUUUUUUAGCAUGAGCUGAUGGGGGCAGUGGCUGAAAUCAAUGGUUUUUGUGUUUCAUGAUUGUGUUACUAUCUGGUGUGAAAAUGAUUAAGAUGCUAACCUAAUUCUUCCUAUCCUGAGAAGAAGCUUGCCAGAUCAACCCAGCGCCCUCAUUUGAGUGUUAAAAGCUGUGUUCGAUCCUAUUUUAUUAAUAUUUUUAUUUUUAAUGCUGAUUACCAUCCCCCAGUCAUUUUUGUGUCUAUAGAAGUUAUGGUCUGUGGAUCCAUCCGUUGGCUCAUUCAAGCUGUAGUGACUGCUCAUUUUAUUUGUACAUAAAACUGCACUCUGAUGCUUGUUAAAAGAGAGAAUUGUUAAGAGUGGGAGUCCAAUUUCAUUUUUAUACUAGGCCUGGUUCAAAAAUGCCAGUAUAGCUCUACUACCACGAGGACCACAAAAAACAAUGGCAUCAAGAAAACUGAUUAUGCACAUGAUUCUCUAUGAUUUUU
RNAcentral lists this unclassified non-coding RNA (3646 nucleotides) under Hevea brasiliensis (rubber tree). The record is from RNAcentral. Lineage: Eukaryota; Viridiplantae; Streptophyta; Magnoliopsida; Malpighiales; Euphorbiaceae.